Molecule: RNase P RNA, 270 nt
Filed under: Pseudomonas aeruginosa
Lineage: Bacteria; Pseudomonadati; Pseudomonadota; Gammaproteobacteria; Pseudomonadales; Pseudomonadaceae
Description: partial RNase P RNA component class A
Rfam family: Bacterial RNase P class A
About the family: Ribonuclease P (RNase P) is a ubiquitous endoribonuclease, found in archaea, bacteria and eukarya as well as chloroplasts and mitochondria.
Source: RNAcentral
AGAGUCGAUUGGACAGUCGCUGUCGCGCAAUAGCGCGGUGGAGGAAAGUCCGGGCUCCAUAGGGCAGAGUGCCAGGUAACGCCUGGGAGGCGCGAGCCUACGGAAAGUGCCACAGAAAAUAACCGCCUAAGCGCAACAGCGCCGGUAAGGGUGAAAAGGUGCGGUAAGAGCGCACCGCACGGCUGGCAACAGUGCGUGGCUAGGUAAACCCCACUCGGAGCAAGACCAAAUAGGAAUCCAUUGGCGCGGCCCGCGUUGGAUUCGGGUAGG